This is a long non-coding RNA of Panicum virgatum (switchgrass), 646 nucleotides long. RefSeq lists it as uncharacterized. The record is from RefSeq and is a predicted model, not a curated record. Lineage: Eukaryota; Viridiplantae; Streptophyta; Magnoliopsida; Poales; Poaceae. The transcript has 2 exons.
CAUGCUAUCAGAUUUUGUUCGCACAUGCAAAGGUUGGUUCAGAUUUGCUGCAAUGAGCAGAGGAGCAUCAUUCAUGCAUCUCAAUUGUGAUUCUUGUUCUUAUCCGUUCGUCCUUCUCCCGAGGUGGUCCAAGCCGUGUAGCUAUUUCUACUCCAUCCAAGGAAGCGAGCUAGCAGGUGCAGCUGGAGGUUUGGGUCACGAACGUACGUGACCUAGCCCAAACUCGGGAUUGUCACCUCAGCAGGCUCUGUCGCCGGCAUGGAGCGCAUCUCGACGGCAUGCUUUGCGGCAGCGACUCCUGCUAGUUGCCCAGUUUCAUGGUGCAUGGAGCUGGGGCACAGAUAGGUGAAGGCGUGGGACCAGCAGAGUGCGUGGAAGGACUGGGAGCUCUCUGCAGCGGCGGAAAUAUGGCUCCAGAUGCCGCCGUUUUUGGACGUGCGAAAAAAUUGGGAGUUGGAUUGGGCAUCUGUUGGAGCUGUGAUUUUCGUAUUUGCUCCCAAAAUGAGAUUUUUGGGUAGAGCUUUGGGCACUCUUGGAGAUGCUCUUAGAAUCUCUUUCCUUGGAUAUUGAUGCUAUCAUUUAAGGGUUUAUUUUUAACACACAUUGAUUGAUCCUCAUGCUAUGAUAACAAAUUCUAUUUCCAACA